Molecule: ribosomal RNA, 284 nt
Filed under: uncultured bacterium
Lineage: Bacteria
Description: partial 16S ribosomal RNA
Rfam family: Bacterial small subunit ribosomal RNA
Source: RNAcentral
GAUGAACGCUGGCGGCGUGCUUAACACAUGCAAGUCGAACGGAGGAGCGAUUUCGGUUGCUCUUCAGUGGCGCACGGGUGAGUAACACGUAGCUGACCUGCCCUCAAGAGUGGGAUAACGGUUCGAAAGGACUGCUAAUACCGCAUAAGCUCACGUGCUUUAGAGGCGCGAGAGAAAAGGCGAAAGCCGCUAGAGGAGGGGGCUGCGGACCAUCAGCAGUUGGUGGGGUAAUGGCCUACCAAGGCGACGACGGGUAGGGGCCUGAGAGGGUGGUCCCCCACACU